CAGGAAGGCAUCUGAUUUCAGAUGUUCCCACAUGGGCCAGAUCUGCCUGCCAGAGAAAAAAAAGACUGCUGCUGAGGCAAUUUUCUGUGAUUGAUGGAAAGUGUAUUAUUUACUUAUAGGAAGAAGAAAAAGUUACCCACUAUGAGCCUAAAAUCUUGCUAGUGAACUAACCCUCCUGAAGCAAAAGACAUUGUCCCACUCAGGAAAUGCUCCUCUAUUCCUAAGUCACGAGAAGGAUGACAGGCGGAGGUUUGGAAAUGGGCGAACCCUAAGGCACAUGAGGGACCUGGCUGCAGGAAGAGAGAAGGAGGACUCUGCAAGUUAUCUCUCUUCUCGAAUUGAAAUUCCUGAGAGCGAGAGUCCAAGGGAACCCAUGUAAGUCCUGUUCUCUACCCUCGCUUAGGAGAGGGAGUGACAUUUGUAAUGAUAGCUCUGCGGGAUAUGUCUAGUAGAUGUAGACCCUGCAUACCUCGGAAAACAACCAAUGUGACAACAGUGCUGGAGAGAACAGAGCCCAAGAGAGAAAGAAAAAUUAUAAUACCAGUUUCCCUGGUAGGUGUCAAGGAUGAAGUUACUCCCCACUUGGCAGAAAUGCAGGUGAAAAGGAAAAGAAUCCUCUGAGGGGAUGAGAGUGGUGUCAACUUAAAAAGCAAAUUUGCCUGUUAUUUUAUCUCAAAAUGAGUUUAUUCCAGAAUAG
RNAcentral lists this long non-coding RNA (697 nucleotides) under Equus asinus (donkey). RNAcentral describes it as "lncRNA (ENSEASG00005027035.1)". Lineage: Eukaryota; Metazoa; Chordata; Mammalia; Perissodactyla; Equidae. The record is from RNAcentral.